AACGCACGAGACCUGCGGACCUGCGGAGGGAUCAUUACCGAGUUCAUGCCCUCACGGGUAGAUCUCCCACCCUUGUGUAUUCUAUGUUUGUGUUGCUUUGGCAGGCCGUGGGCCUCGCCCACCACCGGCUCUCGGGCUGGUGUGCGCCUGCCAGAGGACUCUUUAAACUCUGUUUGUUAGUGUCGUCUGAGUAUGAUAACAAUCGUUAAAACUUUCAGCAACGGAUCUCUAGAUCGGAAG
This 240-nucleotide unclassified non-coding RNA is filed under the name soil metagenome. Its description in RNAcentral is "partial contains 5.8S ribosomal RNA, internal transcribed spacer 2, and large subunit ribosomal RNA". The record is from RNAcentral.